Molecule: ribosomal RNA, 408 nt
Filed under: uncultured bacterium
Lineage: Bacteria
Description: partial 16S ribosomal RNA
Rfam family: Bacterial small subunit ribosomal RNA
Source: RNAcentral
GACGAACGCUGGCGGCGUGCCUAACACAUGCAAGUCGAACGGAGUGGCGAACGGGUGAGUAAUACGUGGGUGAUUUGCCUUGCACUGGGGGUUACGCCUGGGAAACUGGGUCUAAUACCGGAUAGUGUAAGAUGAGCGCGCGGGCUAUUAGCUUGUUGGUGGGGUAAUGGCCUACCAAGGCGUCGACUGGUAGCCGGCCUGGGAGGGUGUACGGCGCCCAUGGUCCUGCGGUACGGCCCAGACGGCAACGUUGGGCAGCAGUGGGGAGUAUGGCACAAUGGGCGCGCGCCUAAUGCAGCGGCCCCGGGGGGGGGAAGAACGCCUUCGGGUUGUAAACUCCUUUCGACAGAGACGCGGUACCUGUAUAAGAAGCACCGGCUAACUACGUGCCAGCAGCCGCGGUAAUAC